Molecule: unclassified non-coding RNA, 231 nt
Filed under: fungal sp.
Lineage: Eukaryota; Fungi
Description: partial internal transcribed spacer region
Rfam family: Eukaryotic small subunit ribosomal RNA (bases 1-45)
Source: RNAcentral
AGUCGUAACAAGGUAUCCGUAGGUGAACCUGCGGAUGGAUCAUUAUAGGGUGUUGGGUAAUUGUGAGUGGUUUUAUUAUUAGUAGUUUGAGCGGUGUUGGUUGGGAUGCUUGCAGGAUUGCCAAGCAGGAUUGCCAAGCAAGACAGCCAACAUUGCCUCACGUUAAACUCUAUAAAUCUAACAAUUACAUACAAAAAAAAACAACUUUUAGCAACGGAUCUCUUGGCUCUC